UCGAACAUCUAUAGCAAUCCUAACAAAUCAUGAUAGUUCACUGCAAGCUUGAUCAUUUUAUAAUGACUCAAGAAAGGUAGGUAAGAUUUCGGUAGCAAAUUGAGGAUAGCAUCCUUGUCUAACUGUUCAUGUAACAGAAAGCCAAGUUUGCUUAAGUAUUCAAUCUACUCGAUCAUGAAUAAUAUAUGAUCAGUGACUAACGUCCCUUCU
This 210-nucleotide long non-coding RNA is filed under the name Elaeis guineensis (African oil palm). RNAcentral describes it as "long non-coding RNA (EGUI_LNC067642)". Lineage: Eukaryota; Viridiplantae; Streptophyta; Magnoliopsida; Arecales; Arecaceae. The record is from RNAcentral.